RNAcentral lists this unclassified non-coding RNA (1155 nucleotides) under Daphnia pulicaria. Its description in RNAcentral is "trypsin alpha-3-like, transcript variant X1". The record is from RNAcentral. Lineage: Eukaryota; Metazoa; Arthropoda; Branchiopoda; Diplostraca; Daphniidae.
UCAGUAUAAAACCCACCACCUUUUGUAGUUGAGCAUCAUUCUCAACUCGUCGCUUAUAAUACCUGCACGAGGUCUGAAGUCUAGGCUACCACGCUAAAAAUCACAAUGCGAUUCAUUUUUUCAAAAAUUGGGCUAUUUUUCUUUGUCAGUUUCGCGUUUUCAAAUUCGCUUUCAGUCGCCGACGGCUUGGAAAAUGUUGAGUUCAAGGAGAAACAUUUAAGAGAAAGUGAUUCCGAUGAUGAAAAUGAUCACAUAGUUGGUGGAACAGCAGCUGCCCCUGGAGAAUUUCCAUUUCAAGCAGCCUUGAACCUCAAUGGUGGUUUGUGCGGAGGAACUUUGAUUUCAGAAUCCAUUAUUUUGACAGCAGCGCAUUGCUUGAGCGGUAAAACAGCUGCCUCUACCACCAAAUUCAGUGUGACCGCCAACACAACAUCGUUGAGAGGCGGAGCCAAUGCCGUCACUCGAAGAGUGAGAAAAUUCGUCGUUCACGGCUCUUACAAUUCCAAAACGAACGAUAACGAUAUUGCCCUGCUGGCUUUAAGUUCACCGAUAAAGAACGUCGCGUUCGUUAAGCUUCCGCCAGCCUCGGCCGGUACUUACGCAGGCAAUUCGGCGGUUAUUGCCGGAUGGGGUACAACAUCUUCCGGAGGGCGCAUCUCGCAAACUCUGCUCAAAGCUACGGUCACGGUUUUGGAGAAUGCAGCUUGCAACAAAAAAUACGGCGGGAAAAUUACCAGUAACAUGAUUUGUGCCGCCGCUCCGGGUAAAGACACCUGUCAGGGUGACAGUGGUGGUCCCUUGCUAGUUGGAGGAGUUCAAGGGGGCAUCACCAGCUUCGGAUAUGGCUGCGCUGAUUCUAAAUUUCCCGGCGUGUACACUCGAGUUUCAAAUUACGUCGAUUGGAUCAAGAGAACCUCGGCUAACAUUUAAAUGGCACGAUAAGGCAGAGGAAAAAAUCGGAGCGCACCCUUGCCAGCCCCUUGCCGGCAAUCAAUUUUGUUAUUGGUAUUCGGGUCUGUUUGGAGAAGCUUUGGAAAUUAUUUGGCAUGUGUUAUGGUCUACAUGAGAAUAGGGUACUUGUAGAAAUUGCAUAAAAAUACUGUUUAGUUUUCCUUCAGAAUUAUCAAAAGAAGUCGAAUAUAUCCUUACCCAACG